This 1475-nucleotide ribosomal RNA is filed under the name Candidatus Pelagibacter sp. RNAcentral's name for it is "bacterial SSU rRNA". It matches the Rfam family "Bacterial small subunit ribosomal RNA". Lineage: Bacteria; Pseudomonadati; Pseudomonadota; Alphaproteobacteria; Candidatus Pelagibacterales; Candidatus Pelagibacteraceae. The record is from RNAcentral.
AAACUUGAGAGUUUGAUCAUGGCUCAGAACGUACGCUGGCGGCACGCCUAACACAUGCAAGUCGAACGAAGUAGCAAUACUUAGUGGCAGACGGGUGAGUAACAUGUAGGUAUCUGCCCUUUGGCCUGGAAUAACACGAGGAAACUUGUGCUAAUACCGGAUAAGUCUUUACGGAGAAAGCUUUAUGCACCAUUGGAUGAGCCUGCACUUGAUUAGUUUGUUGGUGGGGUAAUGGCCUACCAAGACUGUGAUCAAUAGCUGAUUUGAGAGGAUGAUCAGCCACAUUGGGACUGAGACACGGCCCAAACUCCUACGGGAGGCAGCAGUGGGGAAUCUUGCACAAUGGAGGAAACUCUGAUGCAGCGAUGCCGCGUGAGUGAAGAAGGCCCUUGGGUUGUAAAGCUCUUUCGUCGGGGAAGAAAAUGACUGUACCCGAAUAAGAAGGUCCGGCUAACUUCGUGCCAGCAGCCGCGGUAAUACGAAGGGACCUAGCGUAGUUCGGAAUUACUGGGCUUAAAGAGUUCGUAGGUGGUUGAAAAAGUUAGUGGUGAAAUCCCAGAGCUUAACUCUGGAACUGCCAUUAAAACUUUUCAGCUAGAGUAUGAUAGAGGAAAGCAGAAUUUCUAGUGUAGAGGUGAAAUUCGUAGAUAUUAGAAAGAAUACCAAUUGCGAAGGCAGCUUUCUGGAUCAUUACUGACACUGAGGAACGAAAGCAUGGGUAGCGAAGAGGAUUAGAUACCCUCGUAGUCCAUGCCGUAAACGAUGUGUGUUAGACGUUGGAAAUUUAUUUUCAGUGUCGCAGGGAAACCGAUAAACACACCGCCUGGGGAGUACGACCGCAAGGUUAAAACUCAAAUGAAUUGACGGGGACCCGCACAAGUAGUGGAGCAUGUGGUUUAAUUCGAAGAUACGCGCAGAACCUUACCAACACUUGACAUGUUCGUUGCGACUCUAAGAGAUUAGAGUUUUCGGUUCGGCCGGACGAAACACAGGUGCUGCAUGGCUGUCGUCAGCUCGUGUCGUGAGAUGUUGGGUUAAGUCCCGCAACGAGCGCAACCCUCACUUUUAGUUGCCAUCAUUAAGUUGGGCACUCUGAAAGAACUGCCAGUGAUAAGCUGGAGGAAGGUGGGGAUGACGUCAAGUCCUCAUGGCCCUUACGUGUUGGGCUACACACGUGCUACAAUGGUAUCUACAACAGGAAGCAAGACUGCGAAGUUAAGCAAAUCCCUAAAAGAUACCUCAGUUCGGAUUGCACUCUGCAACUCGAGUGCAUGAAGCUGGAAUUACUAGUAAUCGUGGAUCAGCGUGCCACGGUGAAUGCGUUCCCGGGUCUUGUACACACCGCCCGUCACACCAUGGGAGUUGGUUCUACCUUAAGGCAAGGUUUCAAACCCUUGACCACGGUAUAGUCAGCGACUGGGGUGAAGUCGUAACAAGGUAGCCGUAGGGGAACCUGCGGCUGGAUUACCUCCUUU